GGAUUAGAUACCCUGGUAGUCCACGCCGUAAACGAUGUCGACUUGGAGGUUGUGCCCUUGAGGCGUGGCUUCCGGAGCUAACGCGUUAAGUCGACCGCCUGGGGAGUACGGCCGCAAGGUUAAAACUCAAAUGAAUUGACGGGGGCCCGCACAAGCGGUGGAGCAUGUGGUUUAAUUCGAUGCAACGCGAAGAACCUUACCUACUCUUGACAUCCAGAGAACUUUCCAGAGAUGGAUUGGUGCCUUCGGGAACUCUGAGACAGGUGCUGCAUGGCUGUCGUCAGCUCGUGCCG
Molecule: ribosomal RNA, 293 nt
Filed under: uncultured bacterium
Lineage: Bacteria
Description: partial 16S ribosomal RNA
Rfam family: Bacterial small subunit ribosomal RNA
Source: RNAcentral